GACGAACGCUGGCGGCGUGCUUAACACAUGCAAGUCGAGCGGUAAGGCCCUUUCGGGGGUACACGAGCGGCGAACGGGUGAGUAACACGUGGGUGACCUGCCCUCAGCUCUGGGGAUAAGCCUGGGAAACCGGGUCUAAUACUGGAUAUGACUCCAUGACGCAUGUUGUGGGGUGGAAAGCCUUGUGCGGCUGAGGAUGGGCCCGCGGCCUAUCAGCUUGUUGGUGGGGUGAUGGCCUACCAAGGCGACGACGGUAGCCGGCCCGAGAGGCGACCGGCCACACUGGGACUGAGACACGGCCCAGACUCCUACGGGAGGCAGCAGUGGGGAAUCUUGCGCAAUGGGCGAAAGCCUGACGCAGCGACGCCGCGUGAGGGAUGACGGCCU
This 387-nucleotide ribosomal RNA is filed under the name uncultured bacterium. RNAcentral describes it as "bacterial SSU rRNA". It matches the Rfam family "Bacterial small subunit ribosomal RNA", at positions 28 to 417 of the family's 1533-position model. The record is from RNAcentral.